RNAcentral lists this ribosomal RNA (925 nucleotides) under uncultured bacterium. Its description in RNAcentral is "bacterial SSU rRNA". It matches the Rfam family "Bacterial small subunit ribosomal RNA", at positions 10 to 925 of the family's 1533-position model. The record is from RNAcentral.
AGUUUGAUCCUGGCUCAGGAUGAACGCUAGCUACAGGCUUAACACAUGCAAGUCGAGGGGAAACGAUAGAGAAAGCUUGCUUUUUCUAGGCGUCGACCGGCGCACGGGUGAGUAACGCGUAUCCAACCUGCCCAUCACUUGGGGAUAACCUUGCGAAAGUAAGACUAAUACCCAAUGAUAUCUCUAGAAGACAUCUGAAGGAGAUUAAAGAUUUAUCGGUGAUGGAUGGGGAUGCGUCUGAUUAGCUUGUUGGCGGGGUAACGGCCCACCAAGGCGACGAUCAGUAGGGGUUCUGAGAGGAAGGUCCCCCACAUUGGAACUGAGACACGGUCCAAACUCCUACGGGAGGCAGCAGUGAGGAAUAUUGGUCAAUGGACGAGAGUCUGAACCAGCCAAGUAGCGUGCAGGAUGACGGCCCUAUGGGUUGUAAACUGCUUUUAUAAGGGAAUAAAGUGAGUCUCGUGAGACUUUUUGCAUGUACCUUAUGAAUAAGGACCGGCUAAUUCCGUGCCAGCAGCCGCGGUAAUACGGAAGGUCCGGGCGUUAUCCGGAUUUAUUGGGUUUAAAGGGAGCGUAGGCCGGAGAUUAAGCGUGUUGUGAAAUGUAGACGCUCAACGUCUGCACUGCAGCGCGAACUGGUUUCCUUGAGUACGCACAAAGUGGGCGGAAUUCGUGGUGUAGCGGUGAAAUGCUUAGAUAUCACGAAGAACUCCGAUUGCGAAGGCAGCUCACUGGAGCGCAACUGACGCUGAAGCUCGAAAGUGCGGGUAUCGAACAGGAUUAGAUACCCUGGUAGUCCGCACGGUAAACGAUGGAUGCCCGCUGUUGGUCUGAAUAGGUCAGCGGCCAAGCGAAAGCAUUAAGCAUCCCACCUGGGGAGUACGCCGGCAACGGUGAAACUCAAAUGAAUUGACGGAAGGGCUUU